RNAcentral lists this unclassified non-coding RNA (268 nucleotides) under Candidatus Contendobacter odensis Run_B_J11. RNAcentral describes it as "RNaseP_bact_a". It matches the Rfam family "Bacterial RNase P class A", at positions 43 to 307 of the family's 367-position model. Rfam says of the family: Ribonuclease P (RNase P) is a ubiquitous endoribonuclease, found in archaea, bacteria and eukarya as well as chloroplasts and mitochondria. Its best characterised activity is the generation of mature 5'-ends of tRNAs by cleaving the 5'-leader elements of precursor-tRNAs. Lineage: Bacteria; Pseudomonadati; Pseudomonadota; Gammaproteobacteria; Candidatus Competibacteraceae. The record is from RNAcentral.
GAGGAAAGUCCGGGCUCCAUAGGACAGGGUGCCAGGUAACGCCUGGGGGGCGCGAGUCUACGGCCAGUGCCACAGAAAACAAACCGCCUACGUUCUCGUUGCGAGAACCGGCAAGGGUGAAAAGGUGCGGUAAGAGCGCACCGCGUCUCUGGCAACAGCGACGGCACGGUAAACCCCACCCGGAGCAAGACCAAAUAGAGGAGCACAACGUGUGGUCCGCACGGCUCCUGGGUAGGUCGCUACAGGCGUCUGGUGACAGGCGUCGCAG